This 161-nucleotide small nuclear RNA is filed under the name Capsicum annuum. Its description in RNAcentral is "U1 spliceosomal RNA". It matches the Rfam family "U1 spliceosomal RNA". From Rfam's summary of the family: U1 is a small nuclear RNA (snRNA) component of the spliceosome (involved in pre-mRNA splicing). Its 5' end forms complementary base pairs with the 5' splice junction, thus defining the 5' donor site of an intron. The record is from Rfam by way of RNAcentral. Lineage: Eukaryota; Viridiplantae; Streptophyta; Magnoliopsida; Solanales; Solanaceae.
AGGAACACCUGGACGGGGUCAAUGGGCGAUCAAUAAGACCCAUGGCCUAGGUUGGCGACUUCCAUUGCACUUUGGAAGGGUGCCUGCCUAAAGUCGGCCCAAGUGAUCGAGCCUACGUCAUAAUUUGUGGUAGCAGGGGCUUGCGUUCACGCGACCCCUAU